RNAcentral lists this long non-coding RNA (342 nucleotides) under Marmota marmota marmota (Alpine marmot). Its description in RNAcentral is "lncRNA (ENSMMMG00000013563.1)". The record is from RNAcentral. Lineage: Eukaryota; Metazoa; Chordata; Mammalia; Rodentia; Sciuridae.
CCACAUGCGAACGGGUGCCUAGCGGCGGCGGCGGCGGCAACACGAUCGAGAUCAGCAGCGGUGGCCACAACGCGGACGCGACUGCGGCCGGAGCAGCAGCAGCCACAGCAGCCGCCACUGCAGUUAGAGCGGCGGCAGCAGGAAUAACAGCAGCAGCCGCCGCAGCGAGCGGCGCUCGGCGGGCGCGCCCUCCUCAAGGAAGCCGCCCGUCCCACAUCACCGCCCCCUCCGGCGUGUUCAUGCCCCCGGGGCCCCAGGGAGCGCCAUGGCCCGUGCACGCCAGGAGGGCAGCUCUCCGGAGCCCGUAGAGGGCUUGGCCCGCGACGGCCCGCGCCCCUUCCC